This 292-nucleotide long non-coding RNA is filed under the name Mytilus galloprovincialis (Mediterranean mussel). The record is from RNAcentral. Lineage: Eukaryota; Metazoa; Mollusca; Bivalvia; Mytilida; Mytilidae.
UCAAUUUUUCUCAUUUCAUAUUUCAUAAAUAAAAAGAAAAUUUCUUCAAACAUUUUUUUGAGAGGAUUAAUAUUCAACAGCAUAGUGAAUUGCUCAAAGGCAAAAAAAAAUUUAAGUUCAUUAGACCCAAUUUAUUCUGUGUCAGAAACCUAUGCUGUGUCAACUAUUUAAUCACAAUCCAAAUUUAGAGCUGAAUCCAGCUUGAAUGUUGUGUCCAUACUUGCCCCAACCGUUCAGGGUUCAACCUCUGUGGUCGUAUAAAGCUGCGUCCUGCGGAGCAUCUGGUUUUUUA